UGGGGAAUAUUGGACAAUGGGCGCAAGCCUGAUCCAGCAAUGCCGCGUGUGUGAAGAAGGCCUGCGGGUUGUAAAGCACUUUCGGAAGGGAGGAAGGCAUUAGCUUUAAUAGAGCUGAUGAUUGACGUUACCUUCAGAAGAAGCACCGGCUAACUCUGUGCCAGCAGCCGCGGUAAUACAGAGGGUGCAAGCGUUAAUCGGAAUUACUGGGCGUAAAGGGUGUGUAGGUGGCAAGAUAAGUUAGGUGUGAAAUCCUCGGGCUUAACCUGAGAAUUGCGCUUAAUACUGUCUGGCUAGAGUACUGCAGAGGGUAGUGGAAUUUCCAGUGUAGCGGUGAAAUGCGUAGAUAUUGGAAGGAACACCAGUGGCGAAGGCGACUGCCUGGAUAGAUACUGACACUGAGACACGAAAGCGUGGGUAGCAAACAGG
RNAcentral lists this ribosomal RNA (429 nucleotides) under uncultured bacterium. RNAcentral's name for it is "bacterial SSU rRNA". It matches the Rfam family "Bacterial small subunit ribosomal RNA", at positions 355 to 776 of the family's 1533-position model. The record is from RNAcentral.